CAGUCAAUAAUUAGAUAUAUUUCCUUACAAGUUGUGAUUUCUCAUGUGUAUGCAGAAGUCGAUUGAUUAUGAGCGAAACAUUGCCGAACCACGAAGGAAAAGUUGCCAACAGUAAACUAACCUCAACUGAUCAUCCCGUGUUAUUUCCACACGAUGUAAAUGAUUUCCUCCGGCGUUGAUCCGGUUCCCGGACCUAGCCCGCACAAACCCGCACAAGGUAUGCCGUAUUUUUAGCGGGAUAUGCAGUCUUUUUCGGGUUUCCUCGGCUUGGAAAAACUUGUGUCGUUUCUCUGAUCAACAGCCUAAAGAUGUAUUUAUGAUUAGAUUUUCAAUUCGGAAAUAAAAACUGGAAAAUAA
Molecule: long non-coding RNA, 357 nt
Organism: Armigeres subalbatus
Lineage: Eukaryota; Metazoa; Arthropoda; Insecta; Diptera; Culicidae
Exons: 2
Source: RefSeq, a predicted model, not a curated record